CAAUUUAGGUUAUAUGAAAAAUUUUUAUAUAUAAAUAAAUUUUUUAUGAUUUAUAUAAUUUAAUUUAAAUUUAUUUUACAUAUAAAUUUUAGUGUAUAUUUUUAAUUAUUUUAAAAAUUUUUAAAAAUUUAAUUUUAAUAGUAAUUAAUAUUAAAAAUUUAAGAAAUUAAGAUUUAGUAAUAUUUAUUUAUUAUUAACAAAUUUUGUGCCAGCAGUUGCGGUUAAACAAAAAAUAAUUUAAAUUUUAUUAGUAAAUAAUAAAUAUUAUAAUAAAAAUUAAAUAUUAAAUUAUUAGGUGAAAUUUUAAUUUAAUUAAAAUUUAAUUUAAUAAUAUGAUUUAUAAAAUUUUAUAAAAAACUAGAAUUAGAUACUCUAUUAUUAAAAAUUAAAUUGAUUAUACUAAAAUAGUAUAUAAUUAUUUAUAAAAACUUAAAUAAUUUGGCGGUAUUUUAGUUCAUUUAGAGGAAUCUGUUUAAUAAUUGAUAAUCCACGAAUAAAUUUACUUAAUUUAUAUAUUUUGUAUAUCGUUGUUAAAAAAAUAUUUUUUAAUAAAAAUAAUAUUUUAAAAUUUUUAAAAUAAAUUAAUUCAGAUCAAGAUGCAGAUUAUAAUUAAGAAUAAAAUGGAUUACAAUAAAAAUAAUUAAAUGGAUAUUAUUUUUUAAAGAUAAUUGAAGGUGGAUUUAAAUGUAAUUUUAUUUAUUUUAUUAAAAUGAUUAAAAAUUAAAAUAUGUACAUAUUGCCCGUCGCUUUCAUUAAUAAAUUGGAAUAAGUCGUAACAAAGUAGAGGUACUGGAAAGUGUUUCUAGAAAGAA
This 812-nucleotide non-coding RNA is filed under the name Papilio epycides. The record is from RNAcentral. Lineage: Eukaryota; Metazoa; Arthropoda; Insecta; Lepidoptera; Papilionidae.